UAGAUGAACAUCAUAUUUGUAAUCCAUGGCUUAAUUCAAACUGGAGCAAAACAUUAUUUGCCUCUCCCUGUUCACUACCGUUCAUAUUUUUUCCGAAGUAAGGUCCCAUGAGGUCCACCAAAAGUUAGGGGCGGGGCUUCGGCG
Etheostoma cragini (Arkansas darter) is the source of this 144-nucleotide long non-coding RNA. RefSeq lists it as uncharacterized. The transcript has 3 exons. The record is from RefSeq and is a predicted model, not a curated record. NCBI's taxonomy places the organism in Eukaryota, Metazoa, Chordata, Actinopteri, Perciformes, Percidae.